Molecule: non-coding RNA, 334 nt
Organism: Podarcis lilfordi (Lilford's wall lizard)
Lineage: Eukaryota; Metazoa; Chordata; Lepidosauria; Squamata; Lacertidae
Source: the annotation of a GenBank genome assembly
UGUUCAGUUUCUGUUAAUUGAUUCUCAUGGGAAACUUGCAGAUUCUGGCUUCACACAAUUAACUCAAGGCAGUGUCAAUUUACUCUUGGCAGAAAGCCAAGGUCUGCUUGACCUAGAAACUACUUACUCUGAUUGGUUAACGACCAGCACUCAACUCUGUUAUCUAGGAAUGCUAGCACAGUUUGGGGUGUGGUGUGUUAGGAGAAGGAGUUAGAAGUGCUGUGUAUGGUUAUGAGAGAGAGAGAGAAAGAAAGGAUUUAUUUGCUUUGUUUUGUAUGCAGAAACUCUGCUGGUUUUAUUUUUUUUUUUCCUUUUAAUAAAUCCUGUAAAUAGU